RNAcentral lists this ribosomal RNA (260 nucleotides) under uncultured bacterium. Its description in RNAcentral is "partial 16S ribosomal RNA". It matches the Rfam family "Bacterial small subunit ribosomal RNA", at positions 524 to 776 of the family's 1533-position model. The record is from RNAcentral.
UACGGAGGGUGCGAGCGUUGUCCGGAUUUAUUGGGUUUAAAGGGUGCGUAGGUGGCUUUAUAAGUCAGUGGUGAAAUACAGCCGCUCAAACGGGUUGAGGUGCCCAUUGAUACUGUAGAGCUUGAAAACAAGUGGAGGCUGCCGGAAUGGGAUGGUGUAGCGGUGAAAUGCAUAGAUAAUCAUCCAGAACACCGAUUGCGAAGGCAGGUGGCUACCGUUUGAUUUGACACUGAGGCACGAAAGCAUGGGGAGCAAACAGG